GAGUUUGAUCCUGGCUCAAAACGAACGCUGGCGGCAGGCCUAACACAUGCAAGUCGAACGAAGUCUUCGGACUUAGUGGCAGACGGGUGAGUAACGCGUGGGAACCUACCUGGAGGUUCGGAAUAACUCGGGGAAACUCGGGCUAAUACCGGAUACGCCCUUACGGGGAAAGAUUUAUCGCCUUUAGAUGGGCCCGCGUUGGAUUAGCUUGUUGGUGAGGUAAAAGCUCACCAAGGCGACGAUCCAUAGCUGGUCUGAGAGGAUGAUCACCCCACUGGGAUUGAGACACGGCCCAGACUCCUACGGGAGGCAGCAGUGAGGAAUAUUCGGCAAUGGGCGCAAGCCUGACCGAGCCAUGCCGCGUGAGUGAAGAAGGCCUGCGGGUUGUAAAGCACUUUCAACAGAGAAGAAAACACGGUGUUAAUACCACCGGACUAUGACGUUAUCUGUACAAGAAGCACCGGCUAAUUCCGUGCCAGCAGCCGCGGUAAUACGGAAGGUGCGAGCGUUAAUCGGAAUUACUGGGCGUAAAGCGUGUGUAGGCGGUUUAGUAAGUCAGAUGUGAAAUCCCCGGGCUUAACCUGGGAACUGCGUUUGAUACUAUUAGACUAGAGUACAGUUGAGGGAAGCGGAAUUCCCGGUGUAGCGGUGAAAUGCGCAGAUAUCGGGAGGAAUUCCAGUCAGCGAAGGCGGCACUCUGGGCCAUAACUGACGCUGAGGAGCGAAAGCGUGGGGAGCAAACAGGAUUAGAUACCCUGGUAGUC
RNAcentral lists this ribosomal RNA (764 nucleotides) under uncultured Gammaproteobacteria bacterium. Its description in RNAcentral is "bacterial SSU rRNA". It matches the Rfam family "Bacterial small subunit ribosomal RNA", at positions 9 to 795 of the family's 1533-position model. Lineage: Bacteria; Pseudomonadati; Pseudomonadota; Gammaproteobacteria. The record is from RNAcentral.